Molecule: ribosomal RNA, 369 nt
Filed under: Triticum aestivum (bread wheat)
Lineage: Eukaryota; Viridiplantae; Streptophyta; Magnoliopsida; Poales; Poaceae
Description: partial small subunit ribosomal RNA
Source: RNAcentral
AUGGUCAUGUCAUGUCACCGUAACUGCACCAUCAACAGCAGUAAAAGUGGUUUACCUCACAUGCAGCACCUUGCACAGGCGAUCCCAGAAGCUCAUUAUGUCACGGCCAGUAAGGUGCCUCGACCCGCCCUCGCGGCCAUUUACCCUGAGAAGAUGCCCAUAGCCGUUUGCAUGCACAACGGCGUGCAGCAGGUGAGAGGAAUCGUCAAGAUGCAGGUACCCGCACUCUUCCAGCUCCUCGCCUUCCAUGUCAAAGUUGCACAGGAGGCACCUGGAGAAGAAAUUGAAUCCAAGCGGCCAUGGGAGUCCCGCAGCGCAGGCAGCAUGUGCGACGACGGCCAGCCAUCUGGAUGCUGUCGUUCUCGAUGA